This 250-nucleotide ribosomal RNA is filed under the name uncultured bacterium. RNAcentral's name for it is "partial 16S ribosomal RNA". It matches the Rfam family "Bacterial small subunit ribosomal RNA", at positions 15 to 244 of the family's 1533-position model. The record is from RNAcentral.
GAUCCUGGCUCAGGAUGAACGCUGGCGGCGUGCUUAACACAUGCAAGUCGAACGAAGCACUUUACCACGAUUCCUUCGGGAUGACGGUUUAGUGACUGAGUGGCGGACGGGUGAGUAACGCGUGGGGAACCGUGCCCCAUACCGGGGGAGUAACAGCCGGAAACGGCUGCUAAUACCGCAUAAGCGCACAGUACCGCAUGGUAUGGUGUGAAAAACUCCGGUGGUAUGGGAUGGACCCGCGUCUGAUUAG